RNAcentral lists this long non-coding RNA (912 nucleotides) under Prunus persica (peach). Its description in RNAcentral is "long non-coding RNA (PPER_LNC001669)". Lineage: Eukaryota; Viridiplantae; Streptophyta; Magnoliopsida; Rosales; Rosaceae. The record is from RNAcentral.
GCGGCACAUUUGUCAUGGGAACACAUCCUUUAAUGUUUUAUUUAUUAUUAUUAUUACUGUUUAUACGACGUAGUUUGGAAAUAGGAUUCAAGGGAAUUUAGCAAUUAUUGAAGUGCUGUCCAAUGGGGAACCGACAGUUGGAGUAUUGGUAGAUUCGACCAAUUACAGUUGAGGAGGAGGUGUAUGCAGCGAACUGGAAAAGCUAAAUUCCGAUGAGAUUUAGAGACAAUCUGUCAAAAUUCAAUUACAGCGUGGACGGAUGGAGACCGGACACAACUGGACCCCUCUGCCUUCUGCCUUCUGCCUUCUGUUCAACUGCGGGUCCACCCCACAGCUCUCGGCUUCAGCCGCAGCUCAUACAAAUGAAAAUAAAACAAGUGAAAAUAAACAAAUGUUUUUAAAUUGAGGGGAAAAAUGUUUUUUUUUUUUUUUUUUCGUAGCAAUAAAAGAAGAUUUUAGAUGAUGAUGUCACAUGUCUGAUGUGUCUCCUCCACAAACGAAAUUAAUCAAGGAGGAGCCAAGAGCGCGUAGACGAAGCCGACGUGAGGUUGCGUCAUUAGCCAGAUAAGCAGCAGCGUGCGCAAGAAUCUGAACUCUUAAUUAUUUUGAUAAGGGCACCCAACCCACCAGCUUUGCCACUCAUUGCUCACGCAAAAGACAAAAUAAAUACUCAUACCAGAAAAAGACAAAAAUGAAUAAUUUUUAUAAAAAAAUUUAUUAAUCAAAAAGACACAAUUACCCUUUCAAGUAUGUUAGGCAAAAUUAAAAUUGCACACAUUUGACCAGUUAGUGUUGAAUUUUCACGCUUUGUAUGGUACCUACUCCUUUUUUUAGGGGACAAAUUUGUACCUACUCUACUCCUCUCCUCUUACUCACUUUUUGAGCAAAAUUUCACUCUUCUUUAACCUUCUC